AAAAAAUUAAUUAAAUUAAUUAAUUAGCUUAUUCAAAGCGUGUAUUUUGAAAAUACAAGAAAGAUUAUAAAAAAUUUAUUAAUUUA
RNAcentral lists this ribosomal RNA (86 nucleotides) under Scirtothrips sp. WZ-2016. RNAcentral's name for it is "partial 16S ribosomal RNA". Lineage: Eukaryota; Metazoa; Arthropoda; Insecta; Thysanoptera; Thripidae. The record is from RNAcentral.